UACAGAGGGUGCGAGCGUUGUUCGGAAUUAUUGGGCGUAAAGGGCGCGUAGGCGGUGCGGUAAGUCACCUGUGAAAUCUCCUGGCUCAACUGGGAGCUUGCAGGCGAAACUGCCGUGCUGGAGUGUGGGAGAGGUGCGUGGAAUUCCCAGUGUAGCGGUGAAAUGCGUAGAUAUCUGGAGGAACACCGGUGGCGAAGGCGGCAUCCUGGACCGGCAUUGACGCUGAGGAGCGAAAGCCAGGGGAGCAAACGGG
RNAcentral lists this ribosomal RNA (253 nucleotides) under uncultured bacterium. RNAcentral's name for it is "partial 16S ribosomal RNA". It matches the Rfam family "Bacterial small subunit ribosomal RNA", at positions 524 to 776 of the family's 1533-position model. The record is from RNAcentral.